This 486-nucleotide ribosomal RNA is filed under the name uncultured bacterium. RNAcentral's name for it is "bacterial SSU rRNA". It matches the Rfam family "Bacterial small subunit ribosomal RNA", at positions 8 to 507 of the family's 1533-position model. The record is from RNAcentral.
AGAGUUUGAUCAUGGCUCAGAACGAACGCUGGCGGCGCGUCUUAAACAUGCAAGUCGAACGAUCUGUAGCAAUACAGGGAGUGGCGGACGGGUGAGGAACACGUAGGAAUCUACCUAGAAGAGCGGGACAACUUUGGGAAACCGGGGCUAAUACCGCAUAGUACAGAGAUGUUAAAGGGCUAGCAAUAGUCGCUUCUAGAUGAGCCUGCGGUCUAUCAGCUUGUUGGUGAGGUAAUGGCUCACCAAGGCAGCGACAGAUAGCCGGUCUGAGAGGAUGAUCGGCCACACUGGCACUGAGACACGGGCCAGACUCCUACGGGAGGCAGCAGUUAAGAAUCUUGCGCAAUGGGGGAAACCCUGACGCAGCGACGCCGCGUGAAGGAUGAAGGCUUUCGGGUUGUAAACUUCGGUAGACUGGGAAGAAGAACUACGUUCGUUGAGGGCGUAGAGUGACGGUACCAGUCUGAAGCCCCGGCUAAUUACGUG